AGUGAACGCUGGCGGUAGGCCUAACACAUGCAAGUCGAACGGCAGCACAGUAAGAGCUUGCUCUUACGGGUGGCGAGUGGCGGACGGGUGAGGAAUACAUCGGAAUCUACUUUUUCGUGGGGGAUAACGUAGGGACACUUACGCUAAUACCGCAUACGACCUACGGGUGAAAGCAGGGGAUCUUCGGACCUUGCGCGAUUGAAUGAGCCGAUGUCGGAUUAGCUAGUUGGCGGGGUAAAGGCCCACCAAGGCGACGAUCCGUAGCUGGUCUGAGAGGAUGAUCAGCCAAACUGGAACUGAGACACGGUCCAGACUCCUACGGGAGGCAGCAGUGGGGAAUAUUGGACAAUGGGCGCAAGCCUGAUCCAGCCAUGCCGCGUGAGUGAAGAAGGCCUUCGGGUUGUAAAGCCCUUUUGUUGGGAAAGAAAAGCAGCAGGUUAAUACCCCGCUGUUCUGACGGUACCCAAAGAAUAAGCACCGGCUAACUUCGUG
This 492-nucleotide ribosomal RNA is filed under the name uncultured bacterium. RNAcentral describes it as "partial 16S ribosomal RNA". It matches the Rfam family "Bacterial small subunit ribosomal RNA", at positions 29 to 507 of the family's 1533-position model. The record is from RNAcentral.